UAACGGCGAGCGAACUGGGAAGAGCUCAUGGCGAAAUCCGCCGUCGUUGCGACGGUCCGGAUAUUUCGCGUAUAGGAGAGACGCUUCCGAACGCCGACUCCGGUGUAAGUCCCCCUGACUGGGGCUCCUACCCCGAGAGGGUGCAAGGCCCGUAGCGGCCGGCGUCGGCUUCGGAUGUCCUCUCCGGGGAGUCGGGUUGCUUGAGAGUGCAGCCCCAAUCGGGUGGUAAACUCCAUCUAAGGCUAAAUACGACCCGGAGACCGAUAGCGAACAAGUACCGUGAGGGAAAGUUGAAAAGGACUUUGAAGAGAGAGUUCAAGAGUACGUGAAACCGUUCGAAGGUAAACGAGUGGGCCCUCGAAGCCGUAAGGCGGGGGGACUCAGCCGGGCGCCUCGGACCCGCCGCCGCGCGCGCGCUUCCCCACCGGGACGCGCCGCGGCGGAACCGGUCCGGGUUCCCGGCGCAUUUCCUCCCGCCCUCGGACGCUGCGACCGGUCGCGCGUGCCACGAGCGGUCGGCCUUACUCGCGGGGACCGGCAGGUAGCGGGGACCGCGCUUCGGCGCCUUCCCCGUGUUUAGCCACCCCGCGAUCGAGAGCCGUUCGCGCGACCGAAGGACUCGGCCCUCAGGGGCCUCUCCGCGCCUU
This 647-nucleotide ribosomal RNA is filed under the name Calicina sierra. Its description in RNAcentral is "eukaryotic LSU rRNA". It matches the Rfam family "Eukaryotic large subunit ribosomal RNA", at positions 84 to 491 of the family's 3401-position model. Lineage: Eukaryota; Metazoa; Arthropoda; Arachnida; Opiliones; Phalangodidae. The record is from RNAcentral.